UGCAAGCCGAGCGGUAUUUGUCUUUCGGGACAGAGAGAGCGGCGUACGGGUGCGGAACACGUGUGCAACCUGCCUUUAUCAGGGGGAUAGCCUUUCGAAAGGAAGAUUAAUACCCCAUAAUAUAAGAGACGGCAUCGUUUUUAUUGAAAACUGAGGUGGAUAGAGAUGGGCACGCGCAAGAUUAGAUAGUUGGUGAGGUAACGGCUCACCAAGUCGAUGAUCUUUAGGGGCCCUGAGAGGGUGAUCCCCCCACACUGGUACUGAGACACGGACCAGACUCC
Molecule: ribosomal RNA, 281 nt
Filed under: uncultured Chryseobacterium sp.
Lineage: Bacteria; Pseudomonadati; Bacteroidota; Flavobacteriia; Flavobacteriales; Weeksellaceae
Description: partial 16S ribosomal RNA
Rfam family: Bacterial small subunit ribosomal RNA
Source: RNAcentral